GAAUGAACACGCAACCAACGGAGCCACCCAGCCAGGGGAGAUGAGAACUGUCCAGAGUGACAUUGAGAAUUGCCUAAGUACACCUGGUGCUAGAGUUGUCCCUAUCUUGCCAGCUGACAAAGGUUAUUGUCAUCAUUGACUUUGUGUGCUCACUGUGUACUUGGCACCGCAUGCAACAUGCUCACCGCCUUCCAGAAAGGACGCUCUGCAUCGGCGUCAAGGCCAGCUUUCCUCGUCUCUUUAUUGUGCUUUUACACUACCUUAGGGACCAUGUCAACCGCGUGUAAUCAGGGGUGAUUCUAAUCCACACUUGUGUUCUAGUCCUGGACUUAUUUAUAUUUAAAUGUUCUUUGUUGAUGUUACUGCAAUAUUAAUAAAGAGUAUCAUUCAUAAUUUCA
Molecule: long non-coding RNA, 398 nt
Organism: Myotis lucifugus (little brown bat)
Lineage: Eukaryota; Metazoa; Chordata; Mammalia; Chiroptera; Vespertilionidae
Exons: 2
Source: RefSeq, a predicted model, not a curated record